GACGAACGCUGGCGGCGUGCUUAACACAUGCAAGUCGAACGGAAAGGCCCUGCUUUUGUGCGGUGCUCGAGUGGCGAACGGGUGCGUAACACGUGAGUAACCUGCCCUUGACUUUGGGAUAACUUCAGGAAACUGGGGCUAAUAUCGGAUAGGAUCUCCUGCUGCAUGGUGGGCGUUGGAAAGUCUCGGCGGGUGGGGAUGGACUGGCGGGUUAUCAGCUUGUUGGUGGGGUAGUGGCUGACCAAGGCUUUGACGGGUCGCCGGCAUGGGAGGGUGACCGGCGACAUGGGGACUGCGGGAGGGCGCAGAGGGCUACAGGAGGCAGUAGGGGGGAGCAUGGCCCAGCGGGCGGAAGCGUGAGGCGGCAACGCCGGGGUCGGGAAGACGGCCUUUGGGGUGUGAACAGCUGUCGCCUGAGACGAAGCGGUAGUGACGGUAAUGGGUAAAGAAGCACCGGCUAACUACGUG
Molecule: ribosomal RNA, 468 nt
Filed under: uncultured bacterium
Lineage: Bacteria
Description: partial 16S ribosomal RNA
Rfam family: Bacterial small subunit ribosomal RNA
Source: RNAcentral